Molecule: ribosomal RNA, 410 nt
Filed under: Vibrio sp. kba30
Lineage: Bacteria; Pseudomonadati; Pseudomonadota; Gammaproteobacteria; Vibrionales; Vibrionaceae
Description: bacterial SSU rRNA
Rfam family: Bacterial small subunit ribosomal RNA
Source: RNAcentral
CCACGCCGUAAACGAUGUCUACUUGGAGGUUGUGGCCUUGAGCCGUGGCUUUCGGAGCUAACGCGUGUAAGUAGACCGCCUGGGGAGUACGGUCGCAGAGAUUAAAACUCAAAUGAAUUGACGGGGGCCCGCACAAGCGGUGGAGCAUGUGGUUUAAUUCGAUGCAACGCGAAGAACCUUACCUACUCUUGACAUCCACAGAACUUUCCAGAGAUGGAUUGGUGCCUUCGGGAACUCUGAGACAGGUGCUGCAUGGCUGUCGUCAGCUCGUGUUGUGAAAUGUUGGGUUAAGUCCCGCAACGAGCGCAACCCUUAUCCUUGUUUGCCAGCGAGUAAUGUCGGGAACUCCAGGGAGACUGCCGGUGAUAAACCGGAGGAAGGUGGGGACGACGUCAAGUCAUCAUGGCCCU